Molecule: long non-coding RNA, 444 nt
Organism: Mauremys mutica (yellowpond turtle)
Lineage: Eukaryota; Metazoa; Chordata; Testudines; Geoemydidae
Exons: 3
Source: RefSeq, a predicted model, not a curated record
CCAGACUUUUGAGAACUACAUUUUCCUUGAACCGCCUAGAAUGUUGUCAGCCAUGUCCUCACGGAUAUAUAAGGGGCAGGACAUCACCUUUCAGUCAGUGAGAUAUAAGAAUGAACUGAAGGGCCACUUCUUCUCUGAGUAAUCCCCACUCCAAUCCUACAUCUCCUGAGGAUUCCUGCAAUGAAGGUGAAUCAUGCUGGAAGGAACAGACUUGGAACUGCUGCUGAUUCCCCCUAUAAACACUUAAAUUAAAAGAACUUCAUUGACGACUGCAGAACAAGCAGAAAUAGGACAUCACAAAUCUGCAGGAAAUCAGAACAAUUGAGAGGAAGAGGGAUUUUUAGUUAGACUAUUGUGGGACCCAGGAAGCUUAAGAAUCAGCAAUUUGUUUUCUGGACUGAAUCUUAUGUAUUUAGUACCCUAGUAAUUUUUUGCAGAAACAGA